AAAGACCUGAAUAUGGCGAAGUCAGUCACAUAUAUGGGGCUCCUCGGCGCUCAGGGUAUUUGUUGUUAAACAAUGGCGGCAGCUACUACUCCCUGCCAGAGGGCAUUCCCCACACCAUCGCACUCCUGCCAGGUGCUGUUUACACAUGCUCCCAUAACAAGGACGACUCUGCAGUCCAAGUUGCAGUGGCAUAAACGUGAACGAAGCACCAACAUUGUAAUUAAAUCUGCGUCAACAUAAGCGCUGCCAGCUGCACAAAUGGCUAGAGCAAAAAUGGCCAAGGAGGAUGCUCACUUGUUGGCCCAGACAGGUGGGCAUACGGGACUCACUGGGAUGAGCCCACCGUUCUGACUAGACACAGUCAAAA
This 367-nucleotide small RNA is filed under the name Drosophila erecta. RNAcentral's name for it is "GG26387". Lineage: Eukaryota; Metazoa; Arthropoda; Insecta; Diptera; Drosophilidae. The record is from RNAcentral.